RNAcentral lists this unclassified non-coding RNA (276 nucleotides) under Helotiales sp. RNAcentral's name for it is "partial contains 5.8S ribosomal RNA, internal transcribed spacer 2, and large subunit ribosomal RNA". The stretch from base 1 to 71 matches the Rfam family "5.8S ribosomal RNA", at positions 84 to 154 of the family's 154-position model. Lineage: Eukaryota; Fungi; Ascomycota; Leotiomycetes; Helotiales. The record is from RNAcentral.
GUGAAUCAUCGAAUCUUUGAACGCACAUUGCGCCCCUUGGUAUUCCGAGGGGCAUGCCUGUUCGAGCGUCAUUAUAACCACUCAAGCUUUAGCUUGGUAUUGGGGUUCGCGGUCUCGCGGCCCUUAAAACCAGUGGCGGUGCCAUCUGGCUCUAAGCGUAGUAAUUCUCUCGCUACAGGGUCCCGGUGGUUGCUUGCCAAAACCCCCCAUUUCAAUGGUUGACCUCGGAUCAGGUAGGGAUACCCGCUGAACUUAAGCAUAUCAAUAAGCGGAGGA